RNAcentral lists this ribosomal RNA (730 nucleotides) under uncultured bacterium. RNAcentral describes it as "bacterial SSU rRNA". It matches the Rfam family "Bacterial small subunit ribosomal RNA", at positions 94 to 811 of the family's 1533-position model. The record is from RNAcentral.
AGCCGCGAACGGGUGAGUAACACGUGGGUAACCCGCCCCGAUGACCGGGACAACCCGAGGAAACUCGGGCUAAUACCGGAUGUGGCGCACAGGUAUAAGCCCGUGCACUAAAGGAAGCUUCGGCCUCCGCAUUGGGAAGGGCCCGCGGCCCAUUAGCUUGUUGGUGAGGUAACGGCCCACCAAGGCAACGAUGGGUAGCUGGUCUGAGAGGACGAUCAGCCACACUGGGACUGAGACACGGCCCAGACUCCUACGGGAGGCAGCAGUGGGGAAUCUUGCGCAAUGCGCGAAAGCGUGACGCAGCAACGCCGCGUGAGGGAAGACGGCCUUCGGGUUGUAAACCUCUUUCAGGAGGGACGAAGGUUCACCGGUGAAUAGCCGUGUGGAUUGACGGUACCUCCAGAAGAAGCUCCGGCUAACUACGUGCCAGCAGCCGCGGUAAUACGUAGGGAGCAAGCGUUGUCCGGAAUCAUUGGGCGUAAAGCGCGCGUAGGCGGCCCUGUAAGUCCGCUGUGAAAGUCAAAGGCUCAACCUUUGAAAGCCGGUGGAUACUGCAGGGCUAGAGUCCGGAAGAGGCGAGUGGAAUUCCUGGUGUAGCGGUGGAAUGCGCAGAUAUCAGGAGGAACACCAAUAGCGAAGGCAGCUCGCUGGGACGGUACUGACGCUAAGGCGCGAAAGCGUGGGGAGCGAACAGGAUUAGAUACCCUGGUAGUCCACGCCGUAAACGAUG